Molecule: ribosomal RNA, 427 nt
Filed under: uncultured bacterium
Lineage: Bacteria
Description: bacterial SSU rRNA
Rfam family: Bacterial small subunit ribosomal RNA
Source: RNAcentral
UGGGGAAUUUUGGACAAUGGGCGCAAGCCUGAACCAGCAAUGCCGCGUGCAGGAUGAAGGCCUUCGGGUUGUAAACUGCUUUUGUACGGAACGAAAAAGCUCUCUCUAAUACAGGGGGUGAAUGACGGUACCGUAAGAAUAAGCCCCGGCUAACUACGUGCCAGCAGCCGCGGUAAUACGUCGGGUGCGAGCGUUAAUCGGAAUUACUGGGCGUAACGCGUGCGCAGGCGGUCUUGUAAGACAGAGGUGAAAUCCCCGGGCUCAACCUGGGAACUGCCUUUGUGACUGCAAGGCUGGAGUGCGGCAGAGGGGGGUGGAAUUCCGCGUGUAGCAGUGAAAUGCGUAGAGAUGUGGAGGAACACCGAUGGCGAAGGCAGCCCACUGGGCCUGUACUGACGCUCAUGCACGAAAGCGUGGGGAGCAAACA